RNAcentral lists this ribosomal RNA (270 nucleotides) under uncultured archaeon. RNAcentral describes it as "partial 16S ribosomal RNA". It matches the Rfam family "Archaeal small subunit ribosomal RNA", at positions 477 to 747 of the family's 1478-position model. The record is from RNAcentral.
CAGCACCUCAAGUGGUCAGGAUGAUUAUUGGGCCUAAAGCAUCCGUAGCUGGCUCUGUAAGUUUUCGGUUAAAUCUGUACGCUCAACGUACAGGCCGCCGGGAAUACUGCAGAGCUAGGGAGUGGGAGAGGUAGACGGUACUCGAUAGGAAGGGGUAAAAUCCUUUGAUCUAUUGAUGACCACCUGUGGCGAAGGCGGUCUACCAGAACACGUCCGACGGUGAGGGAUGAAAGCUGGGGGAGCAAACCGGAUUAGAUACCCGAGUAGUCC